AGACGUGAUCCUGUUGCACUCGAUGAGAACAAUAAGGAUCUGAUCACCUACAUAGAUGCCAUGCAGAGAUCCGACUCUGAUUAAUGGCUUGGAGACAUAAAGUAUAAAAUGAAGUCCAUAAAGAUCAAUGGUGUAUGGAUAUUUGUUGAUUCACUCAAAGGGUAAAGCCCAUAGAGUGUAAGUGGAUCUUCAAUAGGAUCAGAGUAGCAC
RNAcentral lists this long non-coding RNA (210 nucleotides) under Elaeis guineensis (African oil palm). Its description in RNAcentral is "long non-coding RNA (EGUI_LNC051541)". The record is from RNAcentral. Lineage: Eukaryota; Viridiplantae; Streptophyta; Magnoliopsida; Arecales; Arecaceae.